AACGUAGGAGACAAACGUUAUCCGGAGUUACUGGGCGUAAAGGGCGUGUAGGCGGUUUGUUAAGUCUGGCGUGAAAGCUCUCGGCUAAACCGGGAGAGGUCGUUGGAUACUGGCAAACUAGAGGACGGUAGAGGCGUGUGGAAUUCCGGGUGUAGUGGUGAAAUGCGUAGAGAUCCGGAGGAACACCAGUGGCGAAGGCGACACGCUGGGCCGUACCUGACGCUAAAGCGCGACAGCAUGGGGAGCAAACAGG
RNAcentral lists this ribosomal RNA (253 nucleotides) under uncultured bacterium. RNAcentral's name for it is "partial 16S ribosomal RNA". It matches the Rfam family "Bacterial small subunit ribosomal RNA", at positions 524 to 776 of the family's 1533-position model. The record is from RNAcentral.